UACGUAGGGUGCGAGCGUUAAUCGGAAUUACUGGGCGUAAAGAGCGCGCAGGCGGUCGUUCAAGUCGAGUGUGAAAGCCCCCGGCUCAACUGGGGAGGGUCACUCGAUACUGAUCGACUUGAAGGCAGGAGAGGGAAGCGGAAUUCCCGGUGUAGUGGUGAAAUGCGUAGAUAUCGGGAGGAACACCAGUGGCGAAGGCGGCUUCCUGGCCUGUUCUUGACGCUGAGGCGCGAAAGCUAGGGAGCAAACGG
RNAcentral lists this ribosomal RNA (251 nucleotides) under uncultured bacterium. RNAcentral describes it as "partial 16S ribosomal RNA". It matches the Rfam family "Bacterial small subunit ribosomal RNA", at positions 524 to 775 of the family's 1533-position model. The record is from RNAcentral.